Molecule: long non-coding RNA, 265 nt
Filed under: Setaria viridis
Lineage: Eukaryota; Viridiplantae; Streptophyta; Magnoliopsida; Poales; Poaceae
Description: long non-coding RNA (SVIR_LNC000682)
Source: RNAcentral
GCGUGGGCCUCUAAAGGGGGGCCAAGGAGACCAAGGGUGCUAGCGCGCUAGCCCCUACCACCUGACGGAUGCUGACCACCAGCCUACUCGGAGCCCAUGGCGUCAUAGGAGCCAGCCCCUGGACUAAAGCAGAACCACAGGACAGUGGGCUGUAGAGGCCCGCCGCCAUGAGAGCUGCCGCCGCUAGGGGGCGCCUGGAAACUGUAAACACAAGCUGCACUAGCGAGAGGUGCACUUCAUCUCCAUACAGCCAGUCUAGUAUUUG